AGCAUCCCCAAAGAACAUUCAAGUCUGAGCCUCAAGGAGCCUCUGCGACUCGGUGUCUAGAUCCAGGAAAUGGAGAAUGAGCCGUGACUUUGGAUGCUUCACUCUUGUCCAUCAGGCUCGGAAUUGGGUAGCCCGGCUCUGCAGGGACAGUCACGGAGCUGAAAAACUGCUGCCUAAUGAAGCUGUUUUCUUCUACCACCGGCUCACCCUCAAAUUAUUUCCUGAGCGAACUCAAGAACCUUCCUGGGCUAAGCCCCAAUUUUGGGGCUCGCCUGCCCCUGCAUCACAGCUUCCUCUUCUGUUCACAGCUGCAACCGCCUACUCAACCUUCUGCGGUUCCUCUCCCUGCCCCUCCACAGUGGCUGCUGAUGGGAGCUCUGGCUCCCUGCGUUUUCACUAUCUCCCAGUCAAAUGCAGAGUCCCUGUGCAAUUUAAAUGCUUCUCAGCUAAGAACAGAGAAGGGGAUAGCAUAAGGAUAUUCAAAAGAUUCAAGAAAUCUCAAAAGUGAUCACAAAA
Homo sapiens (human) is the source of this 516-nucleotide long non-coding RNA. Lineage: Eukaryota; Metazoa; Chordata; Mammalia; Primates; Hominidae. The record is from Ensembl.